CCUACGGGAGUCCGCAGUAGGGAAUCUUCCACAAUGGGCGCAAGCCUGAUGUAGCACCACCGCGUGAUUGAAGAAGGGUUUCGGCUCGUAACGCUCUGUUGUUGGAGAAGAACGUGCGUGAGAGUCACUGUUCACGCAGUGACGGUAUCCAACAAGAAAGUCACGGCUAACUACGUGCCAGCAGCCGCGGUAAUCCGUAGGGGGCAAGCGUUAUCCGUAUUUAUUGGGCGUAAAGAGAGCGAAGGCGGUUGCUUAGGUCUGAUGUGAAAGCCUUCGGCUUAACCGAAGAAGUGCAUGGGAAACGAGGCGACGUGAGGGCAGAAGAGGACAGUGGAACUCCAUGUGUAGCGGUGGAAGGCGUAGAUAUAUGGAAGAACACCAGUGGCGAAGGCGGCUGUCUGGUCUGCAACUGACGCUGAGGCUCGAAAGCAUGGGUAGCGAACAGGAUUAGAUACCCGGGUAGUC
This 465-nucleotide ribosomal RNA is filed under the name uncultured bacterium. RNAcentral describes it as "partial 16S ribosomal RNA". It matches the Rfam family "Bacterial small subunit ribosomal RNA", at positions 338 to 795 of the family's 1533-position model. The record is from RNAcentral.